Molecule: ribosomal RNA, 1860 nt
Filed under: Triticum aestivum (bread wheat)
Lineage: Eukaryota; Viridiplantae; Streptophyta; Magnoliopsida; Poales; Poaceae
Description: partial small subunit ribosomal RNA
Source: RNAcentral
CAGUACCCACUGACGAAAAAUCGUAGAGACAGUUAAGCGAUCGUAGAGCGGAUUGGGUAGAGCGCGCUCCUGGACCUCUGCCGCCGCGCCCUCGCUCCUGGACCGCUGCUACGGCCGCGCUCGUGGACUUCCACUACGGCGGCCACGCACCAAUACCUCCGCUUCGGGGUAGAAACGAACCAGCGACACCGGUGAGGGAGUGCCGGGACGGCUGCGGCCGCGCUCCAGGACUACUAUGGCUGGGAUCCACCUCCGGGGCCGACGCGAACCGGCAUCACCACACGGUUGCGUCGUUCCAUAGAGAAAGGGACGGGAGUACAGAAGGAAGGUAGGGAGGUAGGUACUACAAUCAAGACGGCCGCCGCAUGUUUGACGAACAACGUCCGAACGUCGUGGAAGAAUAUAUGUAGGUCAAUCCCAACUCGUCACUCGUGUGGAGUAAAUCUAUAAGGUCAUGAAUGACUUUAACCACCUCUUGUUUGUGACUGGAGACUUAACGGAUAGAAACUAAUGUUUUACAACCAUUGUAUCAAAGUGAAACAACUACCUAAUCAGACACACCAGUCUGUAGAGAGCCUCAGAACCAAUCCUACCGUCUCUCUACGAUACAGACACCUGACUAAGUACGCAUUAAUUCGACGGACCACUACUUUUUAUCCACGUUGAACUUCAGUACGGAACAAUACAUAAGGAACAGUACUAUUUCAAAAGUCUUGAUACUUUCCAACACAAUAUACGACGAAUCUCUAACAUAUCGACCUUAGCGGAUUGUUAACAUCUUCUGUCAUACACAAUCUUGAUUAGAACAAUAAUCACGAUCUAAAUCUAAAACUCAGUACGUACAUCAGCACAAGUAGAUUAUCCGACGCCGGCACAUGAGUGUAUUUCUACUCUAGUACACACGCGUACGUUCGAUCAUCACCCAGUCGAAUUACUCAAUCAAUCGACCUGCACUCCAACAAUCGAUCGAACCCCGCACACAAACGUACAACCGGAUCAGAACACGGACCUCACUAAGAUCCUCACCCUCACUCCCAGUACACAAUCACCAAUCACCUCAUACGCACUCACCGUAUCCUCAGCCCGUCCAACAACGGGACCGUCACGCACACACUCAGAACACAUGACGGAUAAAUUUAACUGUUUACUUACUCUUUUCCGUCACUUCCGUCAUUGUUUUACAUCGCUUAUACAAGUGGUUCCUCUUCUCGGGCACCCGUUUCGAAACACGAGGAAGAACCAUCUACACACACACACAAGGGGACCACACACAUACACAGGAACACAAGUAGUCACAAGAACUCUCUUUGAUUCUCUCUUCUCUCUCAACACACUCUACUCCCUCUUCUUCUCGCCGCGACGUUCCUACGCCGCGGUUGUCAUACGUGACCAAAACACACAUGUAGUCACACAGUGUUUAAGUAUUAGACAUCAUAGUCAGAAGAGUCACGUUUUGACCCCUGAUGUUAAGGUACCGUGAGUUUACGACUCUUGAAGUUACUCAUUUAGAGUUCAGCAGUGACCUGAACAAGGUUCGAGUGACGGGUCGCGGAUGACGCCUGUAAGUCUAUAACUCUACACCUGGAGGCGACUACUUCUUUUGGUCCCAACGUUUGGAUCUGCUGGAACCCAUGUGGUUCCUCUACAUCAAGGUCAAGAUUGAAAGUUGCCACGUUGGAUAGUUUUAUUACCCAGCGUACCGGUAAGAUUAAUAAAAUUCUAUGGUAAAUCGAGCAUCGCCUUUUUCUUUGAGGUAUCAGGUACUUCACGGUAAACACUAAUUACUAUCGUUUGGAUUAACUCUCCAACACAGUGACAUGGCACGGUCAGUAUAUUACGUACGACAACACAGUGAACACA